UUGAAUUCUUAGGGAGCAGAAAUAGCAGUGGUCGGGUUUUUCAUUGUUUGUGUUUUAUUUAUUCUUUUUUAUCUUUCUUGAAAGCAACAAUUCAAGAAUUCCUGUUCAUUUGGGCAGAUCGAUUGGUUUCCUGUUCCAUAAGAAUGCCUCUCAGUUGAUGCUGUACAACACAAUUUUUAAGUCUUCGUCUGCGUCUGCGUCUGCGUCUCCGUCUUUGUCUCAACUCUUCACCUUCGUCUUCAUCUUCGUCUUCGUCUGUGUCUCAACUCUUAACCUUCGUCUCCGUCUCCGUCGGUGUCUCAGUCUCUUUAAGUGACUGGGGCCGACAUUUGUACUCCACAACCUCAAGUCUUCGUUUUUGUCUC
This 365-nucleotide long non-coding RNA is filed under the name Salvia miltiorrhiza (redroot sage). RNAcentral's name for it is "long non-coding RNA (SMIL_LNC008577)". Lineage: Eukaryota; Viridiplantae; Streptophyta; Magnoliopsida; Lamiales; Lamiaceae. The record is from RNAcentral.